AUAAGCUCAAUGCAAAAACCAUAAGCUGAGGCUGAACAUCUCGUAUAAAGCACGCGAGGGUAGGGCCGGUUCGCCAAUAAAAUAGGAAAAGGCCAGCUCCAGUUCUACCACAGCAAUUGCCAGCGAGGGACUUGGCAGAGAACGCCAAUUUCUUUUCCUUCAUUUCUCUCGCUCCCUUGCAAAUUCCCUCAAUGGCUCUCUCCGAUUCUUCUCGCCAAUCCCUUAUCCCUAGCUUCAUCUACUCCUCUGCC
Molecule: unclassified non-coding RNA, 251 nt
Filed under: Hevea brasiliensis (rubber tree)
Lineage: Eukaryota; Viridiplantae; Streptophyta; Magnoliopsida; Malpighiales; Euphorbiaceae
Source: RNAcentral